AACCUGGUUGAUCCUGCCAGAAUCAUAUGCUUGUCCCGAAGCUUAAGCCAUGCAUGUCUCCGAAUAACUAGUAGCUUGAUCCCGAAUCUGCGAACGGCUCCGUAUAUCUGUUGUAACCCGCCUCCGCCCAGGACCCCUCGGCAUAACCACGGUAAUUCUGUGGCUAAUACGUGUAACACCGGCCCCCCGCCCCUGGCGGGGGUCAGCCGGACUCGCCGCGCACCCGGGUUCACCCGCGUGAGAGCUGGCGAGCGUGCCUUACCGGGGGAGGUAAGCCCCUGGAGCGUGAGACGGGCUUCAGACCUAUCAACUAGAUGGCCAGGGAUAGCCUGGCCACGGUUAUUACGGGUACAGAGGAUCAGGGUUCGGUCCUGGAGAGGUAGCCUGAGAGAUCGCUACUACUUCUAAGGAAGGCAGCAGGCGCGCAACGUUCCCAAUGGGGAUACCCUGAGGACGUGAAGGGACAUACCAAUGCCCGGCCCUUAAAGCCGGGCAAUUGGAAUGGGGGACCUCUAAACCCCACACCGAGUAACAAUUGGAGGACAAGUCUGGUGCCAGCACCCGCGGUAAUUCCAGCUCCAAUAGCAUCUAAUUAAGUUGUUGCAGUUAAAACGCUCGUAGUCCAAACUGGUGCGCCCCGGUCCCGCUCCGUACCGGCCAGGCGGACCCUCCCCCCCGCAAGGGGCGGGAGGCCCCUGGUUCGGGAUAAGCGGGGUUGGGCCACUAGACGCCGGGAGGCCAACCGAACGAGGCUUUAGUGCCGUCGCCGGUUCUCCUGGCACCUUACUUUGAACAAACGUGAGCGCUCCAAGCAGGCCAUCCGUGGCCCUUUAAACCCGCAGCAAAGAAUAACAGAAUAGGGACUCUCCCUAUUGCCUGCUGGUUAGGCGGAGUUAAUGAUCUAUAGGGGAGAUCGGGGCGAGCCACAUGGCGGGGGUAGGGGUGAAAUCCGUUGAUCCUCGCCAGGUGAACUAGAGCGAAAGCAGCUCGCAAGUACUCAUCCUUUGAUCAAGAACGAAAGUCUGGGGAUCGAAGAUGAUCAGAUACCAUCGUAGUCCAGACCCUAAAUCAUGCCGGCCAUGGAUGGGCACUCGUCCAUCCCGACCCUGCCCGCACCUUGUGGGAAACCAUAAGCGUCUGGGCUCCGGGGGGAGUAUGGUCGCAAGACUGAAACUUAAAGGAAUUGACGGAAGAGCACACAAGGAGUGGAGCCUGCGGCUUAAUUUGACUCAACACGGGGAAACUCACUAGGGCAGGAGGGGGGUAAGAUGGACAGCCGAUCAGGGCUUUCCCGAUUCUUCCAGUGGUGGUGCAUGGUCGUUCUUAGUUCGUGGAUUGAUUUGUCUGGUCUAUUCCGCUAACGAGCGAGAACCCGCCCUUUCGAGGUUAGGCGGGAGGACACGCCAGCGGCCCCCCCGGGGGCCGCAGGCUGAAAACGUCCCAGUGUUCGGUCAGGAGGGACCGGUACCGUUAAGGUGCCGGCAGCGGGUCAAUAACAGGUCAGUGAUGCCCUUAGAUGCUCUAGGCCGCACGCGCGCUACAAUGGGGCGAGUACCGGGCUCCCUGUGCCGAAAGGCGGCGGGGAAUCCGGGAAAGCGCCCCGUAUCCGGGAUAGCGCCGUGUAACUCGGCGCUCGAACAAGGAAUUUCUAGUAGUCGUGGGUCACCAGCCCGCGACGAUUCUGUCCCUG
This 1690-nucleotide ribosomal RNA is filed under the name Oligonema schweinitzii. RNAcentral describes it as "bacterial SSU rRNA". It matches the Rfam family "Eukaryotic small subunit ribosomal RNA". The record is from RNAcentral. Lineage: Eukaryota; Evosea; Eumycetozoa; Trichiida; Trichiidae.